This is a long non-coding RNA of Alligator mississippiensis (American alligator), 1005 nucleotides long. RefSeq lists it as uncharacterized. The record is from RefSeq and is a predicted model, not a curated record. Lineage: Eukaryota; Metazoa; Chordata; Crocodylia; Alligatoridae. The transcript has 3 exons.
UGAACCUCAAGGCCUCAAUUCACCCAAUGACUCUGUGACUCCAAUUGUCCGAGAGCAGGAUCAGACCCAUUUCUCCUCGUGCUCUGCCCAGGGACCCGCUACAAAACACAAACCCAACCCACAAAUAAUCUGUGUUAGAAGAAAAAGAGUGCACUGGCUUCUAGGAGCAGGUCAAUGAGUCAACACAAGGCAACAAGGUUGUAGGAGCCGGAGUCUCAGCUGGGAUAGGCACUUUGCUGUACAGACAGCACUGACUCGCGGCAGCUGGUGUUGUGGCCGCCCCAGAACGUGCAUUUUCUGAAAUCUGAGGAUAUAUCAGCCUCUCCUGGCAUUUCACAUUCAAAUGCUUCCCUGAGCUGUCUACCCAAAGGUUAACAUCGCUGCUGAUCAGCAAGAGAAGCAGAGAAGGCAGAUGAAUGCAACUUAACUGAGAACCGGGGCAGAAAACCAUGCCAGGCAAGCAGGAGGCAAGCUGCCAGAAGGACACGCGGCGGGCAAAACACGAGAGGCCAAAAGCCAGCAAAGUGGGAUGCAAAAGGUAGGGACUCUGGACAGAGCGGCCUCCCUGCAUUUAGGUCUCGAUCACGUAUUGGCCAAAUUUUGGGCGCAUGAGCCUUUGGGCAAGCUCCUUGUAACCCGGAAAUGGGUCUCUGCCCUUGAUGUUGUUGCACUUGUGCAGCAGUGAGGUGGCAGGUGGACAACCCUGUAAGCAAGGCGUGUGUCACCACCACCUUGUUUCUAAAGCCCGAAGAUCUGGUUGGCGGUCUUGCGCAGCGCGGCUGCCCUGUAAGCGGGGUCCAGGCCAGACGCAGCUGCCAGUGGCGCAGCCUCCUGUAAGCAGGGUGUGCGGUGCCUGCUAUCGGGAGAAGGACAGUGGGUUUGGACGUGGGUAGCGCUGGACGUCCUGUAACUGGGAGGCCAGGUCCACUGCCAAAGCCAGCCGGUCGGAGAGGUGCCCCUGUCAGCAGGGUGGGCGUAGCCUCCUGGUGCUGGCGUGAGAGCCAG